CCAAUAGCGUAUAUUAAAGUUGUUGCAGUUAAAAAGCUCGUAGUUGAAUUUCGGGAUCAGUACGCUGGUCGUGCCUUCGGUAUGAACUGGUGUCACUGGUUCCUCCCUUCUGAAGAACCGUCAUGCCAUUCAGUUGGUGUGGCGGGAAAUCAGGACUGUUACUUUGAAAAAUUAGAGUGUUUAAAGCAGGCUCGCGCUUGAAUACAUUAGCAUGGAAUAAUGAAAUAGGACGUUUGACCCUAUUUUGUUGGUUUCUAGGAUCGACGUAAUGAUUAAUAGGGAUAGUUGGGGGCAUUAGUAUUCAAUUGUCAGAGGUGAAAUUCUUGGAUUUAUUGAAGACUAACUACUGCGAAAGCAUUUGCCAAGGAUGUUUUCAUUAAUCAAGAACGAAAGUUAGGGGAUCGAAGACGAUCAGAUACCGUCGUAGUCUUAACCAUAAACUAUGCCGACUAGGGAUCGGAUGAUGUUAAUUUUAAUGACUCAUUCGGCGCCUUACGGGAAA
Molecule: ribosomal RNA, 502 nt
Filed under: uncultured Glomeromycotina
Lineage: Eukaryota; Fungi; Glomeromycota
Description: SSU rRNA
Rfam family: Eukaryotic small subunit ribosomal RNA
Source: RNAcentral